UGGGGAAUAUUGGACAAUGGGCGAAAGCCUGAUCCAGCCAUGUCGCGUGUGUGAAGAAGGUCUUCGGAUUGUAAAGCACUUUAAGUUGGGAGGAAGGGCAGUAAGCGAAUACCUUGCUGUUUUGACGUUACCGACAGAAUAAGCACCGGCUAACUCUGUGCCAGCAGCCGCGGUAAUACAGAGGGUGCAAGCGUUAAUCGGAAUUACUGGGCGUAAAGCGCGCGUAGGUGGUUCGUUAAGUUGAAUGUGAAAGCCCCGCGCUAAACCAGAGAACUGAAUCCAAAGCUGGCGAGCUAGAGAAAGGCAGAGGGUGGUGCGAUUUCCUAUGUAGCGGUAAAAUGCGUAGAUAUAGGAAGGAACACCAGUGGCGAAGGCGACCACCUGGGCUCAUACUGACUCUGAGGUGCGAAAGCGUGGGGAGCAAACAGG
This 429-nucleotide ribosomal RNA is filed under the name Pseudomonadota bacterium. RNAcentral's name for it is "Proteobacteria bacterium partial 16S ribosomal RNA". It matches the Rfam family "Bacterial small subunit ribosomal RNA", at positions 355 to 776 of the family's 1533-position model. Lineage: Bacteria; Pseudomonadati; Pseudomonadota. The record is from RNAcentral.